UUUUGAACUUUGGACUUUUAAACAUUGUUGAGACUGUUACAGACUAUGGGGACUUUUGAAGUUGGACUCAAUGCAUUUUGCAUUAUGAGAUUAUUAAGUGCUUGUGAGGGCCUGGGAGUGGAAUGUGGUAAUUUGAAUGUAAUUGGUCCCCAUAAGCUCAUAGAGAAUGGCACUAUUAGGUGGUAUGGCCUUGUUGAAGUAGGUAUAGCCUUGCUGAUGGAAGUGUGUCACUGUGUGGGGGGUGGGCUUUGAAGUUUCUUUUGCUCAAGUUUCACUUGGUGUGACUUCCAGACCAUUUCCUGCUGCCUACAAGAUGUAGGACUCUCAGCUCCUUCACCAACACCACAUCUGCCUUCAUGCAGCCAUCCUCCAUAAUACUGAACUGAACCUCUGAACUAUUUGUAUGAAGCAGAGAACUCUAAACCCCACAGUUUCCUGGAGAAAGCAACACCUGGAAGACCGAAGGAAACCAAGCAAGAUUUCAAUUUUCCACUAGCCUCUCUACAUUGCCCUAGCUGUCCUGGAACUCACUGUGUAGACUAGACUAGCUUAAGACUCAUAGAGAUCUGCCUGCUUUUGUCUCCAUAGUUCUGGGCUUGACUGAUGUUUUGAGGAGCCAACAGGAAUAGCUGGUUAAUGAAGAUACAUGGAGAUUAUCUUUACCCCAGUCAAACCUUUAGAAUUGGAAGAUGUAAUGAAUCCAGUAAAGUGUCCACAGAUAAAUACUGGUUAAUUUUAUGCUAACUUGACACAAGCUAGAGUCAUCAGAGAGGAGGGAGCUUCAAUUGAGAAAAUGUCUGCAUACAAUGGGGCUAUGGGCAGGACAGUAAGGCAUUUUCUUAAUUAGUGAUUCAUGUGGGAGGGCCCAGCUCAUUGUGGGUGGGGACAUCCCUGGGCUGGUAGUCCGGGGUUCUAUUAAAAAAAAGCAGGGAGAACAAGCCAGUAUGCAGCACCUCUCCAUGGCCUUUGCAUCAGCUUCUGCCUCUGGAUUCCUGUCCUGUUUGAGUUCCUGUCCUGACUUCCUUCAGUGAUGAACAAUGUAUGGAAGUGUAAG
RNAcentral lists this long non-coding RNA (1054 nucleotides) under Cricetulus griseus (Chinese hamster). Its description in RNAcentral is "lncRNA (ENSCGRG00015032669.1)". Lineage: Eukaryota; Metazoa; Chordata; Mammalia; Rodentia; Cricetidae. The record is from RNAcentral.